CAGCUGGUCCGGUCUGGAUCACCCAGGGUUGGAAAGAAAAUCAGCCGAAAACAUAGACACACUCCCAAUUAGCUAACUCAAGUUGAUCUUUUCAGGAAGCUACCAUAUGUGGAAAUGUCCGGAGCAGUUAAAGUGAGCGCUGUUGUUGCUGCAACCGCUACAGGUGCUGUGAAAGUUGUAAGCAUAUCUGUACCAGCAGCAGCAAUUCCGUGGGUGUGCGCCACUGUCAUUGUGCUUGGGGCCUCCUGUAUCAUUUUCCAAGGACUCAAGCGUCUAAACCAGUGA
RNAcentral lists this long non-coding RNA (285 nucleotides) under Varanus komodoensis (Komodo dragon). RNAcentral describes it as "lncRNA (ENSVKKG00000003241.1)". Lineage: Eukaryota; Metazoa; Chordata; Lepidosauria; Squamata; Varanidae. The record is from RNAcentral.